AUUGAACGCUGGCGGCAGGCCUAACACAUGCAAGUCGAGCGGAUGACGGGAGCUUGCUCCUGGAUUCAACGGCGGACGGGUGAGUAAUGCCUAGGAAUCUGCCUGGUAGUGGGGGAUAACGUCCGGAAACGGGCGCUAAUACCGCAUACGUCCUGAGGGAGAAAGUGGUGGCUCUUCGGACCUCACGCUAUCAGAUGAGCCUAGGUCGGAUUAGCUAGUUGGUGGUGUAAAGGCCUACCAAGGCGACGAUCCGUAACUGGUCUGAGAGGAUGAUCAGUCACAUUGGAACUGAGACAAGGUGCAGACAAUUUCGGGGAGCAACAGUGGGGAAUAUUAGAAAAUGGAGGAACGCCUGAUCUAGCCAUGUCGCGUGAGGGAAGAAGGUGUUCGGAAUGUAGAACACUUUAAGUUGGAGGGUUGGGCAGUAAGUUAAUAAAUUACUGUUUUGACGUUACCAACAGAAGAAGCACCGGCUAACUUCGUG
This 484-nucleotide ribosomal RNA is filed under the name uncultured bacterium. RNAcentral describes it as "partial 16S ribosomal RNA". It matches the Rfam family "Bacterial small subunit ribosomal RNA", at positions 30 to 507 of the family's 1533-position model. The record is from RNAcentral.